Molecule: ribosomal RNA, 676 nt
Filed under: uncultured bacterium
Lineage: Bacteria
Description: bacterial SSU rRNA
Rfam family: Bacterial small subunit ribosomal RNA
Source: RNAcentral
ACUCUUGGACAGCCUUCUGAAAGGAAGAUUAAUACAAGAUGGCAUCAUGAGUCCGCAUGUUCACAUGAUUAAAGGUAUUCCGGUAGACGAUGGGGAUGCGUUCCAUUAGAUAGUAGGCGGGGUAACGGCCCACCUAGUCUUCGAUGGAUAGGGGUUCUGAGAGGAAGGUCCCCCACAUUGGAACUGAGACACGGUCCAAACUCCUACGGGAGGCAGCAGUGAGGAAUAUUGGUCAAUGGGCGAGAGCCUGAACCAGCCAAGUAGCGUGAAGGAUGACUGCCCUAUGGGUUGUAAACUUCUUUUAUAAAGGAAUAAAGUCGGGUAUGGAUACCCGUUUGCAUGUACUUUAUGAAUAAGGAUCGGCUAACUCCGUGCCAGCAGCCGCGGUAAUACGGAGGAUCCGAGCGUUAUCCGGAUUUAUUGGGUUUAAAGGGAGCGUAGAUGGAUGUUUAAGUCAGUUGUGAAAGUUUGCGGCUCAACCGUAAAAUUGCAGUUGAUACUGGAUAUCUUGAGUGCAGUUGAGGCAGGCGGAAUUCGUGGUGUAGCGGUGAAAUGCUUAGAUAUCACGAAGAACUCCGAUUGCGAAGGCAGCCUGCUAAGCUGCAACUGACAUUGAGGCUCGAAAGUGUGGGUAUCAAACAGGAUUAGAUACCCUGGUAGUCCACACGGUAAACGA